GCAAACUUGGUCAUUUAGAGGAAGUAAAAGUCGUAACAAGGUCUCCGUUGGUGAACCAGCGGAGGGAUCAUUACCGAGUUAUUACUCCAAACCCAUUGUGAAUCUUACCACUAUUUUUGUUGUCUCGGCGGCGGCUCUGCAGGCCUCCCGCCCCUGUAAAAAGGGGAAAUGGGAGCUGGCACCCCGCCGGCAGCACCAAACUCUUGUAUUUUAUAGCGGACUCAAGCUCUGAUUAUAAAAAGAAAAUGAAUCAAAACUUUCAACAACGGAUCUCUUGGUUCUGGCAUCGAUGAAGAACGCAGC
Molecule: unclassified non-coding RNA, 303 nt
Filed under: uncultured fungus
Lineage: Eukaryota; Fungi
Description: partial contains small subunit ribosomal RNA, internal transcribed spacer 1, and 5.8S ribosomal RNA
Rfam family: Eukaryotic small subunit ribosomal RNA (bases 1-73)
Source: RNAcentral